UGGUACUAUAUUUACUUAUAAUAAAAUGUAUUUAUUUUUUUCAGUUUUACACUUUGUCUGACAGUUAUUCCUUUUGUAGACCCAGACACUUAUUUUUUAAUUUAGAGUUUACUAUCUAUACUACUUAGGUACACCACUUUUGCUCCAUAACUUAAUUAAACAUUAAUUAAACCGCCCUUGCCAAUCUAAUUGAUCAACUGCAUAUACUUACAACCACCCAAAGGCUCUCAUCUUCCCCCUCGACCACAAAAAUUCCCUUUUAACCUUUUAAUGCUCACCACCAGCUGGCUUUUUAAGCUCAGUGAGUCAUGUCCACAUUGGCAACUUCACAGUUUACCAUAAGAGACAGGGGAGGUUGAGACCCGACCAUUGUCCACACUAUCACUCUUCCUGUCAAACUGUCUCUGAACAUGAUUGGCAAGGACACGACUCCGCCUGCUGUGAAGAAAAGCAAACCAGGGCGCAGCAAAUAGGGCUGGUGGGAGGAAAGUUGUUGCUGGCCCGGAUCCGAAGUGGCACUAAGGUAAGCUUAGUCCCCACCCAUUCAUACCACAUGCAAACACUCUCACACACAUAUUAGCCAAUCACAGGUUAUCCAUUCCUACACUUAUACAUGUGCCCUUGUCCGCCAAGCUGCGCUAUCUCCCUUCGGCCUGGUGCGGUGACACUGAUAUAACAUUUUAGCAUAAAUUUUUUUCCCUAUGAGCACACACAGCCACAAAUACAGUAUAUUCAUCUCUAAAAUAUACAAUUAAUUUUAUGGCAUUUGUGAUUAUCAAC
Molecule: non-coding RNA, 780 nt
Organism: Pelobates cultripes (western spadefoot toad)
Lineage: Eukaryota; Metazoa; Chordata; Amphibia; Anura; Pelobatidae
Source: the annotation of a GenBank genome assembly